GACGUAGGGGGCCAGCGUUGUUCGGAAUUACUGGGUGUAAAGGGUUCGUAGGCGGUGUGGCAAGUUGGGAGUGAAAUCUCUGGGCUCGACCCAGAGGCUGCUUCCAAAACUGCCAUGCUUGAGUGUGGGAGAGGAGCGUGGAAUUGCAGGUGUAGCGGUGAAGUGCGUAGAUAUCUGGAGGAACACCCGUGGCGAAAGCGGCGCGCUGGACCACUACUGACGCUGAGGAGCGAAAGCUAGGGGAGCAAACAGG
Molecule: ribosomal RNA, 253 nt
Filed under: uncultured bacterium
Lineage: Bacteria
Description: partial 16S ribosomal RNA
Rfam family: Bacterial small subunit ribosomal RNA
Source: RNAcentral